RNAcentral lists this ribosomal RNA (1310 nucleotides) under Enterobacter hormaechei. RNAcentral's name for it is "partial 23S ribosomal RNA". It matches the Rfam family "Bacterial large subunit ribosomal RNA", at positions 423 to 1735 of the family's 2925-position model. The record is from RNAcentral. Lineage: Bacteria; Pseudomonadati; Pseudomonadota; Gammaproteobacteria; Enterobacterales; Enterobacteriaceae.
CACGUGGUAUCCUGUCUGAAUAUGGGGGGACCAUCCUCCAAGGCUAAAUACUCCUGACUGACCGAUAGUGAACCAGUACCGUGAGGGAAAGGCGAAAAGAACCCCGGCGAGGGGAGUGAAAAAGAACCUGAAACCGUGUACGUACAAGCAGUGGGAGCCUCUUUAUGGGGUGACUGCGUACCUUUUGUAUAAUGGGUCAGCGACUUAUAUUCUGUAGCAAGGUUAACCGUAUAGGGGAGCCGAAGGGAAACCGAGUCUUAACUGGGCGUUAAGUUGCAGGGUAUAGACCCGAAACCCGGUGAUCUAGCCAUGGGCAGGUUGAAGGUUGGGUAACACUAACUGGAGGACCGAACCGACUAAUGUUGAAAAAUUAGCGGAUGACCUGUGGCUGGGGGUGAAAGGCCAAUCAAACCGGGAGAUAGCUGGUUCUCCCCGAAAGCUAUUUAGGUAGCGCCUCGUGAACUCAUCUUCGGGGGUAGAGCACUGUUUCGGCUAGGGGGCCAUCCCGGCUUACCAACCCGAUGCAAACUACGAAUACCGAAGAAUGUUAUCACGGGAGACACACGGCGGGUGCUAACGUCCGUCGUGAAGAGGGAAACAACCCAGACCGCCAGCUAAGGUCCCAAAGUCAUGGUUAAGUGGGAAACGAUGUGGGAAGGCACAGACAGCCAGGAUGUUGGCUUAGAAGCAGCCAUCAUUUAAAGAAAGCGUAAUAGCUCACUGGUCGAGUCGGCCUGCGCGGAAGAUGUAACGGGGCUAAACCAUGCACCGAAGCUGCGGCAGCGACACUAUGUGUUGUUGGGUAGGGGAGCGUUCUGUAAGCCGUUGAAGGUGUGCUGUGAGGCAUGCUGGAGGUAUCAGAAGUGCGAAUGCUGACAUAAGUAACGAUAAAGCGGGUGAAAAGCCCGCUCGCCGGAAGACCAAGGGUUCCUGUCCAACGUUAAUCGGGGCAGGGUGAGUCGACCCCUAAGGCGAGGCCGAAAGGCGUAGUCGAUGGGAAACAGGUUAAUAUUCCUGUACUUGGUGUUACUGCGAAGGGGGGACGGAGAAGGCUAUGUCAGCCGGGCGACGGUUGUCCCGGUUUAAGCAUGUAGGCGGAGGUUCCAGGUAAAUCCGGUACCUUUUAACGCUGAGGUGUGAUGACGAGGCACUACGGUGCUGAAGUGAUAAAUGCCCUGCUUCCAGGAAAAGCCUCUAAGCAUCAGGUAACAUCAAAUCGUACCCCAAACCGACACAGGUGGUCAGGUAGAGAAUACCAAGGCGCUUGAGAGAACUCGGGUGAAGGAACUAGGCAAAAUGGUGCCGUAACU